This 492-nucleotide ribosomal RNA is filed under the name uncultured bacterium. RNAcentral's name for it is "partial 16S ribosomal RNA". It matches the Rfam family "Bacterial small subunit ribosomal RNA", at positions 29 to 507 of the family's 1533-position model. The record is from RNAcentral.
AGUGAACGCUGGCGGUAGGCCUAACACAUGCAAGUCGAACGGCAGCACAGUAAGAGCUUGCUCUUACGGGUGGCGAGUGGCGGACGGGUGAGGAAUACAUCGGAAUCUACUUUUUCGUGGGGGAUAACGUAGGGAAACUUACGCUAAUACCGCAUACGACCUACGGGUGAAAGCAGGGGAUCUUCGGACCUUGCGCGAUUGAAUGAGCCGAUGUCGGAUUAGCUAGUUGGCGGGGUAAAGGCUCACCAAGGCGACGAUCCGUAGCUGGUCUGAGAGGAUGAUCCGCCCAACUGGAACUGAGACACGGUCCCGACUCCUCCGGGGGGGAACAGGGGGGAAAUUUUGGAAAAGGGGGAAAACCCGACGCAGCAACGCCGCGUGGGUGAAGAAGGGCUUUGGGGUUUAAAACCCUUUUUGUUGGGAAAAAAAAACGGGAGGUUAACUCCCCGCUUCUUGGCGGUUACCAAAAAGAAAACCACGGCUAAAUUUGGG